RNAcentral lists this ribosomal RNA (348 nucleotides) under Candidatus Pacebacteria bacterium CG_4_9_14_3_um_filter_40_12. Its description in RNAcentral is "bacterial LSU rRNA". It matches the Rfam family "Bacterial large subunit ribosomal RNA", at positions 2557 to 2915 of the family's 2925-position model. The record is from RNAcentral. Lineage: Bacteria; Bacillati; Minisyncoccota.
AGAAGGUCCCAAGGGUUAGUCUGUUCGCCUAUUAAAGCGGUACGCGAGCUGGGUUCAGACCGUCGUGAGACAGGUCGGCCUCUAUCCGCCGUCAGCGUUAGAUAAUUGAGAGAAUUUGCUCCUAGUACGAGAGGACCGGAGUGAGUGAAUCCCUAGUGUUCCAGUUGUUACUGUCAAGUGCAUUGCUGGGUAGCUACAUUCAUUGUGGAUAACCGCUGAAAGCAUCUAAGCGGGAAGCCAAUCUCAAGAUGAAUUAUCUCCAUUAAACACGUGGGAGAACACCACGUUGAUAGGCAGUCGGUGUAAGUCUGGUGACAGAUUAAGCCUAACUGUACUAAUCGUUGACUG